AAGUGUCUGGUUGCAGCGUUAGUAGCCAAGAACUUUCCUUUCACAUACUGACCUUUUUUAUGUGCAAGAAUAUGCCCACCAGGAGGUGAGUGAGUCUUACCUUCUCUUCUGAGGCCUGCUUCUGGUGAUGAACUCAUUUGGUCCCCUUUUCCCAUCCACCUGGAACUCCCUAAGAGGUCUUGCUGGCUGUAGGAGUAAGAACACCACCAGUUGAAGUAAUUCUGUGAGAGACUGCAUGUACAUAGUACCAAAAAAAGAUCAUGGUCACACAGAAUUGGGGUUAGGGAAUGCCACCACUAUGCAACAAUGUAUAAACAAAACUCCAGCUCCCACUCAUGUUCCUAGUAUUAGUUCUGAACAUCUCGUCCCAAACCAUGCCUCAUAUUUUACUCAGUGCAGUUGUCAGUCUUCUUAGUAGACCACUUUUUCACCAGUGUUGGCCAUCUCUUGCAAUUUAGACCUGACGAUUCGUAUCAAUCACCUUUAUAUUUUG
Molecule: long non-coding RNA, 493 nt
Filed under: Pan troglodytes (chimpanzee)
Lineage: Eukaryota; Metazoa; Chordata; Mammalia; Primates; Hominidae
Description: long non-coding RNA NONPTRT009236
Source: RNAcentral